UAGGGAAUCUUCCGCAAUGGACGCAAGUCUGACGGAGCAACGCCGCGUGAGUGAAGAAGGAUUUCGGUUCGUAAAACUCUGUUGUUAGAGAAGAACAGCGCAUAGAGUAACUGUUAUGCGUGUGACGGUAUCUAACCAGAAAGCCACGGCUAACUACGUGCCAGCAGCCGCGGUAAUACGUAGGUGGCAAGCGUUGUCCGGAUUUAUUGGGCGUAAAGCGAGCGCAGGCGGUCAAUUAAGUCUGAUGUGAAAGCCCCCGGCUCAACCGGGGAGGGUCAUUGGAAACUGUUUAACUUGAGUGCAGAAGGGGAGAGUGGAAUUCCAUGUGUAGCGGUGAAAUGCGUAGAUAUAUGGAGGAACACCGGUGGCGAAAGCGGCUCUCUGGUCUGUAACUGACGCUGAGGCUCGAAAGCGUGGGUAGCAAACAGG
RNAcentral lists this ribosomal RNA (429 nucleotides) under Bacteroidota bacterium. RNAcentral describes it as "Bacteroidetes bacterium partial 16S ribosomal RNA". It matches the Rfam family "Bacterial small subunit ribosomal RNA", at positions 355 to 776 of the family's 1533-position model. The record is from RNAcentral. Lineage: Bacteria; Pseudomonadati; Bacteroidota.